UCCUCCUUUGCUCAAUUUGCUUAUCAUUCGACUGUUUAUUUUAUUGUUGCUGGUUCAAGUCCAGCAGGAGGAG
Molecule: transfer RNA, 73 nt
Filed under: Arthrobacter sp. 49Tsu3.1M3
Lineage: Bacteria; Bacillati; Actinomycetota; Actinomycetes; Micrococcales; Micrococcaceae
Description: tRNA_Pseudo_GTT
Source: RNAcentral